UAUGAGUAGAUAUUCAUGUUGUAGUCAGCUGAGUGUUGAAAUUCAAUGCAGAUCCCCCAUGGACACUAAGUGUUUGGGGUUCACUACAUAUUUUUCUUAUUAUCUACAUGUCAGAAUUAAAUCUUUUUAAUCAGUAGAAAGUCCCUCUAUUCAGCCAUUGAAAAGUUAAGCAAAGAUUUGUCGAGAUUGGAUUGAUACUAUACUUCAAUUAAAAUUCCUUGGGUAUUAGUUGAUUCCAUUCACCUUAAUGGAAACCUGCAAAAAUGUUUUGAUUCAGUGGCCUUUGUUAACAUUUUACAGGAAAGUGAAUUUGAUAGUUAUACCAGAGAGUUAUUGUCUUAGUGGUCUUAUCCUCCUAAUUACAUACUGAUGCAAAGUAUACCGUUGCUGUGUUAUCAGGUUUGCACUGGAGCAAAAAGUGAACAGCAAUGUGAACUCGCAGCUAGAAAGGUCAAAUAUUUGACGAUGUUUUCUUCUCCCAACCUGGCAAGGUAUUGUACUACCUACAUGCAUCACUGGAAGGUGUGAUUUUGCUGUCGAUGGUUCUACUUGGUACUGAUUGACAUACAUACAUUGUUGGAACGUGAAACAUGUAGUCAAGGAACAAUCUUUGCAACGAACAAAAGUGCAUAUAUAGAGUGCACCCUUUCCAUUCUGGUGCAUUAAAUAUAGGUUCUUAACAGAUGUCUCUUUGUCAUAAUGUAGAUAUUUGAACA
Non-coding RNA from Triticum urartu, 716 nucleotides. The record is from RefSeq and is a predicted model, not a curated record. Lineage: Eukaryota; Viridiplantae; Streptophyta; Magnoliopsida; Poales; Poaceae.